Molecule: long non-coding RNA, 2029 nt
Organism: Penaeus indicus
Lineage: Eukaryota; Metazoa; Arthropoda; Malacostraca; Decapoda; Penaeidae
Exons: 7
Source: RefSeq, a predicted model, not a curated record
GACGCGAGCGGUCCGCAGUCUAGUUGCGGACGGCGCCACGAGAGAGUGUACGGUCGCUGCGCUCUCGGGUGCUGGCGAGGCUCUCUCUCUCUCUCUCCCUCCUCUCUCUCUCCCCCACACAUACGUCUCUCUCUCUCUCUCUCUCUCUCUUUCUUUUUCUUUUUUGGGGGGACUUUGCGUGCGCGUCCCGUCCGGAAAGAGCGUCCGGCUGGUUUCUUUUUAUUUAUUAUUUAUUCUUUGUUAUUCCCUGUCUUUUUUCUGUCUCUCUCUCACUCUCACUUGUUCUUUGUCUUUCGUCUUUUGUUAUUUUCUCUCUUUUCUUUUCUUUUUUAUUCUGUCCGUUCGUCCGUUUCGUCGUCGUCUUCUCUCUGCGGUUCGUCUCCCAUCCGCCCCGUCAUCGGUCGACGUCAAAUCGCCUGCGGAAUUGUUCGGAAAGAAUUUCGGACCGAUCCCCCCCCCCCAUCUUCGAGUGCCCGGAAGCCAUGGCUGACUUGGAGGAAAAACGACAGUGCCAAAAGACCUCUCUUGUAGACGUCGCUACGCCCACAACUCCAUCGCCAGGCCGCCCGCGACGGCACGGCGUUCGGGCGCGCGGGCGGGCGGCGAGGACGUGUGUGUGUCGGAAAGGCAGACUCGCCCGCUGAAAAAGUCUGCGGGUUUGGCACUCCACAUUUGACCACUGCGGCCUGACCUUACCGUCUCCGUGAGGCAAGACCAUGCAGGCAGGCAAGCAAGCAAGCAAGCCACGUCACCACAGAGGCCGUCAUCAUCCCCCUCCCCUUUCCCCCAUCCCCCUCCUCCUCCCUGCGUUGCAAGAGACCUCCUGCAACGCGCCCCCCCCCUCUUUCGCCUCCCCGUGCCAGAGGGGUAGACUGAAAAGGGGGAGGGAGUAGAGAGAGAGAGAAAGAGAGGGAGUAGAAGGGGGGGGAGAGAGGGAGGAGUAGAGAGGUGUGGCAGGACCUAACUGUUGCACGUAAUCACCACAAAUGCAGAUCAGAUUGAUGAUGAAAAGGAAGAAGGAGAAGAAGAAGAAGAGAAAGAGAGAGAGAGAGAGAGAGAGAGAGAGAGGAAGACUUUAUUCCACGCCCACUUAAAUCCCUUUUAAUUUAGAAAUGAACUAGAAGUAUAUUAAUUAUGAAUAGAACUUUGAUAACGGAUCAGGUGAAUUCAAAAUUCCUCCUGAAAAAAGUCGUUAACUGGCUCGUUUUCAAACUAGCGAUUCCUAACCUAACGGCCAACGAAAGGAAAAGGAAAAAGAAAUAAACAGCUAGUUUGCUAGUUCAUUCAUUCCUCUCCCCUCCCCUUCCCCCAUCCCCUACCCCCCUCCUCUCCCCUCCUUAUCCUCCUCCCCCCUUCCCCCUUCCUCCUCCUCCUCUCCCCCUUCCCCCUUCCUCUUCCCCCCCUUUCCCCCUUCCUCCUCCUCCUCCCCUUCCCCCCUUCCUCCUUCUCCUCCUCCUCCUCCUCCCCCCCCCCACUACCCACACACGCCGCCCGCCCCUGCCCAUCACCCUCGGCGUCACACCUGCGAGGGCGCCCACCUGUUCAAACACCGCCCAGCCCACGUCUCUACCAGCGGGUGGCGGCGACGGCGAGAGAUCCUAAGGGCGUGGGCGUAAGGCUGUGGGCGUGUGAGGGGGGGGGGGUCUGUGGGCGGACGUGAGCUGCGGCAAAUAUGGAGGAUGACAAUGAUGACUUGCAGAAAUUCGCUUUGUUGGUUACCUUCGAGUGCCAAGGGACGGGCUGGCACUGGAAGGGGUGCGAGUGGCGAAUGGCACCCUGUGUUCGGAGGAGAGAGAGAGAGACUUGAAGAGAUGGAGAGAGACGGCAAAGUGCAAAUGAUUCCAGGAGUGAGACCAGACGAAACGCCUUCAAGUCUUGGGCUCAAAUAGGCCUAUCCUUGGAAUAGAAAAGACUAGCUGGUGUUUGGCGGCGAAGGGCGGGCCAUUGUUACCAGGUCGGCGGAGAAGCUUAAUGGAAAGAUAAUAGAAAUGAUACAGUGUUGCCAGAGUUUUCCUCUCUCUUUCUUUCU